CCUACGGGAGGCAGCAGUGGGGAAUAUUGGGCAAUGGGCGCAAGCCUGACCCAGCAACGCCGCGUGAAGGAAGAAGGCUUUCGGGUUGUAAACUUCUUUUCUGAGGGACGAAGAAAAUGCGGUUACCUGACUAAGAAGCCCCGCCUAAAUACGUGCAACCAGCCCCGGUAUAACGUAGGGGGCAAGCGUUGUCCGGAUUUACUGGGUGUAAAGGGAGCGCAGGCGGGUUGCCAAGUCUGUUGUGAAAACCUGGGGCCCAACCCCGGACCUGCAUUGGAAACUGGCGUGCUGGAGUUCCGGGGGGGCAGGCGGAAUUCCUAGUGUAGCGGUGAAAUGCGUAGAUAUUAGGAGGAACACCGGUGGCGAAGGCGGCCUGCUGGACAAUGACUGACGCUGAGGCGCGAAAGCGUGGGGAGCAAACAGGAUUAGAUACCCGAGUAGUC
RNAcentral lists this ribosomal RNA (443 nucleotides) under uncultured bacterium. RNAcentral describes it as "partial 16S ribosomal RNA". It matches the Rfam family "Bacterial small subunit ribosomal RNA", at positions 338 to 795 of the family's 1533-position model. The record is from RNAcentral.